AGUGGCGGCUCGGUUGCUUGCCAGAUCUGGCGGCCGGCUAGCACGCUCGGGGGCUGGUUGGACCUAUGGCGGAAGCGAGGGAGGAGGUCUGGUGGUGCUGCUCGUUUGCCGGUGGCGGAAGGAUUCUGGGGCGGCUCGGGUGAAAUCACCAAGUUUUCUCUUCCAUCAGCCCUCUCUCCUUCUUUAGGAUUAUUAGGACUUGGG
RNAcentral lists this ribosomal RNA (204 nucleotides) under Triticum aestivum (bread wheat). Its description in RNAcentral is "partial small subunit ribosomal RNA". Lineage: Eukaryota; Viridiplantae; Streptophyta; Magnoliopsida; Poales; Poaceae. The record is from RNAcentral.